GAAAAAGUGCGGUGUUGAAAAACUGGAGCUCAUUUGCUUCAGCAAGAGGCUGCACUGGAGAGUGGACUUUGUCACAUGUGAGCCACCCACAUCAACAGGAUGGGAACUCAUGUGGAGUGCAUGUCAUAAUGGUGCAGUGCCAGAAAUGUGGUGCAUACAAGCACAUGCGUUGUUCAAAGUCUGUUUGUGGCAUCUGUAUCUUCUGUGAGAGGCCGUAAAGCCAAACUGCCCGCAAUGAUUCUUGACAGGCCUAAGAAGGCCAAAACUAAAGUAACAGUGUUUAGUGUUCUGAGUGAAGAGGAGGCUGGGGAGCUAGCCCUCGGGUUUGCCGGAAGAUUGGCCUGCGAUGUCACAAGAGACAUGGUCUGUAAAGGCAUCGACCAUUCAAGUGCUGAUAUGACAAA
Astatotilapia calliptera (eastern happy) is the source of this 404-nucleotide long non-coding RNA. The record is from Ensembl. Lineage: Eukaryota; Metazoa; Chordata; Actinopteri; Cichliformes; Cichlidae.